Molecule: non-coding RNA, 3376 nt
Organism: Peromyscus maniculatus bairdii (prairie deer mouse)
Lineage: Eukaryota; Metazoa; Chordata; Mammalia; Rodentia; Cricetidae
Source: RefSeq, a predicted model, not a curated record
AUACUAUUACAACACACAGACAGCACUAACUAUUGAAAAAGCGUUCUUAGAUGAUCUGUGACCCACAGCUUGAGAACUCCUGAUCUAGAAGGUUGAGACCAAGAUAAUAUUAAUCAUAAACAUAGAGGUUUGUAGGACAAAAAGAAAGAAGGAACAUGGGUGUCUGACCACAAUGAAGAUUGUUCCAGACUCCUCAUUCUGGGCUUCUUGUUAACCAAGAAAAACAAGCAGCUAAAUGAAUCAGCAGACAAACAAUGCUCUCUCUCCCAAGACAAUUUACCUGAAAUGACAGCAGGGUAAGUAGCUCUUGUCACAUUUAAGGGACUUGUCAUUCAUAGGCAUACACACAGGUAAACACCAUAAUAAAGUAAAAACAAAUCUGAGAGACAGACAGACAGACUGGUCAUGAUAUGAUCAAAUCUUAAAGUAUUUUCCUAAUCAGAACUCACAAGUACAAAAGAAAGGUAGAGAAACACUCAGAGCAGGACAGGAACAGAAGUAAGGCCCAAUGAGAUGUAUCAGCAAGGGUACAGAGUGGGAGCCUUAGGAGACACAGUUGGGCAGGGAUGCUAAAAUCUUUCACACCUGGGGGAAAAUCACAGAGCUCUCAUGCUCUGCAUGAUUUGUAGACUCACAAUUUGUUCUUUUUGAUCCAUCUGAAGUGGACAAAGGCCAGAUGAAAUGUUUUCGGAAAAUAAAACAGCCACAGGUCACAGUGCUUUCAAUGCAAACAACAGGGUACAGCUGCUACCUAGCAGUGACCGGUUAUAAACUCAUUCUGCCCUCAGUUUACUACUGGCAAUCUCAAGUACAGAGGUCAGCGAAAACUUACACUAUGCCUUUUACAACUGUGUAAAAAUGAAAUGGAUGGUACAGAAACAAAACAACAAACAAAAACCAGUCAGGUAUGGUAGCUCACACCUACAAUCCCAGUACUCAGCUGAGGCAGGAGGAUUGAGUUUGAGUAAGAUCCUGUCUCAGAACGGCUUAAAAAUCCCCAAUAAAAACCCAGACACAAAGAUGUUUUUUCCUUUUGCCCCCCACCCGAGUCAGCAGUUCUAUUACAUUUUAAAAGCACAUUUUCCUUAACACUUUAAAUUAUACUUGUUUCUUAAUGAAAACCUACACAACCACAGGUUAAAAAACAACUCACAGUCUUAGUUCACAACUCACAAACUUAUAACUAAUUCAACCACAGCACACUGUUGAAUUUCCAGACCCAUUUUCCAACCUGGGUAUUACAUUGAGGCACUGUCAUUUUCUCCUAAGUCUUUGGGAGUCUGUAUCCACAGCUUGCUUACUUGUGAGAAGAAGCAAUGAGGUCUAUCUACACAUUAGGGACAGGGAAGACUAGGAAGCUGCUCUUCCUUUAUCUUUGCAGGUCUCUGUUGAAUCUGCAUUUCCUAGCUCAAGAUUUAUUCCUGGGGGUAAAAAGUCAGUGGAUCUUCCCAUUGCAUUUUUUACAUGACUUACUUCAUCACUUUUGUUUUUCUGGGUCCUAGCAGUGUCUCCAGCUCAAUAAACAUGCCGGCUAAGUCAGUGGAGUGCCGGCCGAGAAUAGGAAGGAGUAAUACAUUUUUACAAUAGGAAGAGUACUUUUGGGGCAGCAUAAAGCGAAUGAAAAAGAGGAAAGGAAACCUGACAAACUUUAUUUGGAACUAUAGUAUGGGAACUUCCUGUCCCACUGGUAUCAUGUAUGCUCAUUCCUACUCUACACAGUCAUUCUGUUUGCUUUCUGUACCAUGCUUCCUUAACAUCUAGGCUCAAAUAACACCAUCUUAAAAGAAUUCUUUUUAGACCAUUCUACCUAAACCAGGGCGCCCAACUUACAUCAUAUUUAUCCCCUCAUCCUAAUUUUCUUUAUAAUACAUGUUACCAUAUGUGAUAAUCUUAUAUUUCCUUAUUUAACAUUUCCCAUCUCUCAGAAUGAACCCUGUAUGAGAAGGGCAACUAGUUUAGUUCGUUGGCAUCUCUAGCUCUUCAGCUAAUGUUUGGUAUAUGCUACAGUUCGACAUCUAUUCACUGACCAUUUACAUAACAGCAUUGGGAGGAACCAGUCCCCCUCCUUCCCUGGAGUAGUGUGGAGGGCUCCAGAAGUUCUACUGAUGGUGACAAAGGGGGCUAUCUUCGAAGUAUGGAUUUCCUUUUCUUCCUCCAAACUCCCACAGACACACACCAGCUGCAUUAGUCAAUGCUGUGCCCCUAGCCAGAACAUCUGCUUCUAUGGUUUCUCAACUAUGCCUUCAGGGAAAUUAAGACAUGGGAAGGUCCUUGAACUGUGCUGUCCACCACUGCUAACCUGAACUCUCUUCAAACUGGGGAAGGUUGUUGAGGAGCAGCAACAAGGAAGGUGAUUGUAGUAUCUGUGAAGAGUGUGAUACCGUACUGUUACUCCUAAGAGGUUCUUCUCCACCUCUGCUGAGACUUGCUUCCAAAGAAGAAACCAAGUUUUCAUUUCUCUGCUUCCUUCUUAUGCUGUUGUUCCCAUUGGCAUUUCUUAAGCUUUUGUGUUACAGGGAACCUAGACAACGCUUGCUGCUGCUGUUGCUGAAGUACUGGAGGCCGGUGCCUGUCUCUGAACACAGAAUUAGUCUCUGCCACUAGCAGGCUUACCAGGGCACCUUCCACUCUACUGAUGGCUGCCAACUGACUUGAGUGGGCAAGUUUAGCCAAGACAUGCGGAUGUGCACAUGCAGGAGUUACUGAGCCUAAUUCUGACUAUAUGUCUAGCUAGUAUCUAAGUGCCUUCAAACUUUUUGGAACUAAUGUUUUGAUCCUCUAUUGUUCACUUAUAUCUAUUUUUGAACUGAUUCCAAUCAGGGAAUGGGAGCAGGAUAUGAUUUACUGGGCAAAUCAGACCAACCUGAUAAAGGAAAUAACAGAUGAUAUUCAAUAACAAUGUCUUAUGAAAAUCUAAAUGAAAAACUAUCCCUAGCCAGGCACAGUGGCACAGGACUUAAAAGGCAGAGCAGGAAGAUCUGAGUUCCAUGCCAGCCUAGGCUAUGUAGUGAGACUUGCCUCACAAACCAAAACCAAAACUAAAAACCACACCAACCAAAUCACCUCUCCCUUUCUGGAAAACAAUCAGAGGGCGGCAGAAUGGACUCACAGUAACAAUGAAAAGCAUAAAAGGAAACAGGACUAUUUUCUGAUGCUCAACUGAUUUUCUAGAGAGUGGAGCUCUGUUCUCUAAUCACAGAAGCUAAUGUGUCCAGAGACUUGCCUUGAAAAUAUGCUUAGUACUAGAGAAAAUUAUGAGAAAUGGGUCCUAGCAGGAGAGGAUUACAUUGGGGAGGAGAUGUCCUUGAAGGGGAUAUUGGGACCAGCUAUUGAUUCUCUGCUUCCUAGCUACUAUGAGUUGAACAGGCUGCUCCAC